UAUUGGACAAUGGGGGGAACCCUGAUCCAGCGACGCCGCGUGAGUGAAGAAGUAUCUCGGUAUGUAAAGCUCUAUCAGCAGGGAAGAAGAAGUAACGGUACCUGACUAAGAAGCCCCGGCUAACUACGUGCCAGCAGCCGCGGUAAGACGUAGGGGGCAAGCGUUAUCCGGAUUUACUGUGUGUAAAGGGAGCGUAGACGGCAGCGCAAGUCUGGCGUGAAAUGCCGGGGCCCAACCCCGGAACUGCUUUGGAAACUGUGCAGCUCGAGUGCAGGAGAGGUAAGCGGAAUUCCUAGUGUAGCGGUGAAAUGCGUAGAUAUUAGGAGGAACACCAGUGGCGAAGGCGGCUUACUGGACUGUAACUGACGUUGAGGCUCGAAAGCGUGGGGAGCA
RNAcentral lists this ribosomal RNA (393 nucleotides) under uncultured bacterium. RNAcentral's name for it is "bacterial SSU rRNA". It matches the Rfam family "Bacterial small subunit ribosomal RNA", at positions 362 to 770 of the family's 1533-position model. The record is from RNAcentral.